UGCUGAAUUAUCGUCUCUGGAGAAAGGGCACGAAAGGGGAACGCUGCAGUGUCUCAAAUAGCAAUGAAAUUACCAUUGUUAUAUAUAAAGCCCUCAUCCCCCCCUGAAGCUCUGCAGCCAAUCACAUGCACAUGCAGCUGCUGCUGGUGCAUUUUUCCUAACCUUCUUCAAUACCCCACACUCCUGACCUUUGGUUGGUAAAUUGCUAUUCUGGAUGCCAUGCACCACUUGGUUGGGCCUCCUCAUCCAAGCAUUACCAUAUAUGAACGUGGAAGAACAGUCAUGUCAAGAGCAGCCAAGCCAACUGCUGCUCACUGUAGCAGUGUGACUUCUCAGCUUGUCAGUAUUUUUUUUUUGCCCGUCCCGUUUGGAUCUUUAGCCAUCAGAAUUGUUGUCUGAAGGCCAAGAAAGAUGCCAAGUGGAUUUACUUUACCAAGUGGAUCAUCAUGGCCUUGCCAUAUUGGUCCAUUUGAUUGACCUUUAUUAUAAUUAUGUAUUUAUUUUAUUUUUCAUUUUUUAAAGACGGGACAGACAUGACUGGGGGAUAGGACAGGGAGGAAGAAUGAAAGAGAGGGAGAGAAAGAAAAAUAGACGGGAGAGGAGAUGGUGAGAAAGGGGGGAAGAAAAAAAAAGAAAAACAAACAAAACACCUGGAUCACCUGUAUGGAGAAAAAAAACAGAAGAGAAAACAAACAACAAAGAGCAACAUGAUAAAAACGACACCAUCACAAUAAACUAGCUAACAAUAGAUAACAGUAGAUACUUUUUUAAUUUCCCCUGGUUGAGAAUGAAAAAUGAAAACCAGCAGAAGAAAACGAGAGUAAUAGAAUAAACAACAUCACGAUGAUAUAUGGGAAUAUAAUUGUAAAUACUAAAUAUUAAACAUUAUUGUGCAGCACGUAAGAUCGACAGCGCACAGUGUGCUUUGAGGUAGGAGCCAAAAAGGGUGUAGUUUGUGGGUGUGAUCACCCGUGUGUACACCUGUGAGCAUGGACGCGCUUGUUUUUAAAAGGUUCCUUCAUGUAAUGAUCUGCUAG
Long non-coding RNA from Astatotilapia calliptera (eastern happy), 1037 nucleotides. NCBI's taxonomy places the organism in Eukaryota, Metazoa, Chordata, Actinopteri, Cichliformes, Cichlidae. The record is from Ensembl.